UACGUAGGGUGCGAGCGUUAAUCGGAAUUACUGGGCGUAAAGCGUGCGCAGGCGGUUUUGUAAGCCAGAUGUGAAAUCCCCGGGCUUAACCUGGGAAUGGCAUUUGGGACUGCAAGGCUGGAGUUUGGCAGAGGAGACUGGAAUUCCUGGUGUAGCAGUGAAAUGCGUAGAUAUCGGGAGGAACACCUGUGGCGAAAGCGGCUCACUGGACCAUAACUGACGCUGAUGCACGAAAGCUGGGGGAGCAAACAGG
This 253-nucleotide ribosomal RNA is filed under the name uncultured bacterium. RNAcentral's name for it is "partial 16S ribosomal RNA". It matches the Rfam family "Bacterial small subunit ribosomal RNA", at positions 524 to 776 of the family's 1533-position model. The record is from RNAcentral.